GACGAACGCUGGCGGCGUGCCUAAUACAUGCAAGUCGAACGCUGAAGGAGGAGCUUGCUCUUCUGGAUGAGUUGCGAACGGGUGAGUAACGCGUAGGUAACCUGCCUGGUAGCGGGGGAUAACUAUUGGAAACGAUAGCUAAUACCGCAUAACAGUAGAUGUUGCAUGACAUUUACUUAAAAGGUGCAAUUGCCUCACUACCAGAUGGACCUGCGUUGUAUUAGCUAGUUGGUGGGGUAACGGCUCACCAAGGCGACGAUACAUAGCCGACCUGAGAGGGUGAUCGGCCACACUGGGACUGAGACACGGCCCAGACUCCUACGGGAGGCAGCAGUAGGGAAUCUUCGGCAAUGGACGGAAGUCUGACCGAGCAACGCCGCGUGAGUGAAGAAGGGUUUCGGAUCGUAAAGCUCUGUUGUAAGAGAAGAACGAGUGUGAGAGUGGAAAGUUCACACUGUGACGGUAGCUUACCAGAAAGGGACGGCUAACUACGUG
Molecule: ribosomal RNA, 495 nt
Filed under: uncultured bacterium
Lineage: Bacteria
Description: partial 16S ribosomal RNA
Rfam family: Bacterial small subunit ribosomal RNA
Source: RNAcentral